This 377-nucleotide ribosomal RNA is filed under the name uncultured bacterium. RNAcentral's name for it is "bacterial SSU rRNA". It matches the Rfam family "Bacterial small subunit ribosomal RNA", at positions 523 to 898 of the family's 1533-position model. The record is from RNAcentral.
AUACGUAGGGUGCGAGCGUUGUCCGGAAUUAUUGGGCGUAAAGGGCUCGUAGGCGGUUUGUCGCGUCGGGAGUGAAAUCUCAGGGCUUAACCCUGAGCCUGCUUCCGAUACGGGCAGACUAGAGGUAUGCAGGGGAGAACGGAAUUCCUGGUGUAGCGGUGAAAUGCGCAGAUAUCAGGAGGAACACCGGUGGCGAAGGCGGUUCUCUGGGCAUUACCUGACGCUGAGGAGCGAAAGUGUGGGGAGCGAACAGGAUUAGAUACCCUGGUAGUCCACACCGUAAACGUUGGGCGCUAGGUGUGGGACUCUUCCACGAGUUCCGUGCCGCAGCUAACGCAUUAAGCGCCCCGCCUGGGGAGUACGGCCGCAAGGCUAAA